Molecule: ribosomal RNA, 483 nt
Filed under: uncultured bacterium
Lineage: Bacteria
Description: partial 16S ribosomal RNA
Rfam family: Bacterial small subunit ribosomal RNA
Source: RNAcentral
GACGAACGCUGGCGGCGUGCUUAACACAUGCAAGUCGAACGCUGAAGCUCAGCUUUUGUUGGGUGGAUGAGUGGCGAACGGGUGAGUGACACGUGAGUAACCUGCCCCCUUCUUUGGGAUAACGCCCGGAAACGGGUGCUAAUACUGGAUAUUCACUGGUCUUCGCAUGGGGGUUGGUGGAAAGGGUUUUUCUGGUGGGGGAUGGGCUCGCGGCCUAUCAGCUUGUUGGUGGGGUGACGGCCUACCAAGGCUUUGACGGGUAGCCGGCCUGAGAGGGUGACCGGUCACAUUGGGAAUGAGAUACGGCCCAGACUGCUACGGGAGGCAGCAGUGGGGAAUAUUGCACAAUGGGCGCAAGCCUGAUGCAGCGACGCCGCGUGAGGGAUGGAGGCCUUCGGGUUGUGAACCUCUUUCGCUCAUGGUCAAGCCGAAACAAUGGUUGUGGUGAGGGUAGUGGGUAAAGAAGCGCCAGCUAACUACGUG